CCAGCCCCUUUACUCUUCUUCUUCUUCCGUUUUUUUUUCUUGGCUGCUUCCUCAGCUGUAGAGGCAGCUCCCUCCUCCCUGUCGUCUGGAUCCAGGUCGCCAUUCAGGUGGCUCCCGGAGGCCACUGCCUCCUCCACGCCCGCCAUGUUCCCCGAGAAAGCGCGAGGGAGCGAGUCAGAGCGGCGAGGGCCUACUCCUCCUCCACCCACCUACACAAGCGACGCCGGAAACUGCUCUCUGUGUUGAAACCUGAAAGGAAAGAAUGGAAAAAGAGAACAUGUGCAGACCACAUCUCCAACCAGAGAUACACCACAAAAGCCAAGCGUAGAUAAAACAUUUGAAAUCACUCUUCAAUUGUUGGUGUACUUCACAUUUCCAAAGGCUUAUACGAUGCUCAAGACUGAUGCUUCCUCGUUCCUCAUUUCCCAAAGAACUAUGCGAAUGAAUUGCCAUUUCAAAUCGGACCAUGAAGUCAUUAAGAGAGCUUUAUUCUACUCAGAACCGUUGUUCUCAGAUCUCCCGGGAGAGCGUUUUACCUGUUGUCAUCCACUUCUCAC
Cynocephalus volans (Philippine flying lemur) is the source of this 557-nucleotide long non-coding RNA. RefSeq lists it as uncharacterized. The transcript is spliced from 3 exons. The record is from RefSeq and is a predicted model, not a curated record. Lineage: Eukaryota; Metazoa; Chordata; Mammalia; Dermoptera; Cynocephalidae.